RNAcentral lists this ribosomal RNA (485 nucleotides) under uncultured Pelotomaculum sp. RNAcentral describes it as "bacterial SSU rRNA". It matches the Rfam family "Bacterial small subunit ribosomal RNA", at positions 897 to 1382 of the family's 1533-position model. The record is from RNAcentral. Lineage: Bacteria; Bacillati; Bacillota; Clostridia; Eubacteriales; Desulfotomaculaceae.
AAACUUAAAGGAAUUGACGGGGCCGCACAAGCGUGGAGCAUGUGGUUAAUUCGACGCAACGCGAAGAACCUUACCAGGGCUUGACAUCCCCUGACCGCGUAUGAAAGUACGUUUUCACCCUCGGGUGACAGGGAGACAGGUGGUGCAUGGUUGUCGUCAGCUCGUGUCGUGAGAUGUUGGGUUAAGUCCCGCAACGAGCGCAACCCCUACGUUUAGUUGCUAACGCGUGAAGGCGAGCACUCUAGACGAACUGCCGUUGACAAAACGGAGGAAGGUGGGAUGACGUCAAAUCAUCAUGCCCCCUAUGUUCUGGGCUACACACGUGCUACAAUGGCCGGUACAGACGGAGGCGAAGCCGCGAGGCGGAGCAAAUCCGAAAAAGCCGGUCUCAGUUCGGAUUGCAGGCUGCAAUUCGCCUGCAUGAAGUCGGAAUCGCUAGUAAUCGCAGGUCAGCAUACUCGCGGUCGAAUACGUUCCCGGGCCUU